RNAcentral lists this small nuclear RNA (160 nucleotides) under Erinaceus europaeus (western European hedgehog). RNAcentral's name for it is "U1 spliceosomal RNA (ENSEEUG00000016748.1)". It matches the Rfam family "U1 spliceosomal RNA". From Rfam's summary of the family: U1 is a small nuclear RNA (snRNA) component of the spliceosome (involved in pre-mRNA splicing). Its 5' end forms complementary base pairs with the 5' splice junction, thus defining the 5' donor site of an intron. The record is from RNAcentral. Lineage: Eukaryota; Metazoa; Chordata; Mammalia; Eulipotyphla; Erinaceidae.
AGAUCUGGCAGGGGAGAUACCAUGAUCACGAAGGUGGUUUUCCCAGGGCGAGGCUUAUCCAUUGCACUCCGGAUGUGCUGACCCCUGCGAUUUCCCCAAAUGUGGGAAACUCGACUGCAUAAUUUGUGGUAGUGGGGGACUGCGUUCGCGCUCUCCCCUG